RNAcentral lists this non-coding RNA (51 nucleotides) under Nocardia thailandica NBRC 100428. Its description in RNAcentral is "L31-Actinobacteria ribosomal protein leader". It matches the Rfam family "L31-Actinobacteria ribosomal protein leader". Lineage: Bacteria; Bacillati; Actinomycetota; Actinomycetes; Mycobacteriales; Nocardiaceae. The record is from RNAcentral.
UCGGUUCCGGUUCACGCAUUCCGCGCCCCAGCGGCGUGCGACCCGGCGACC